RNAcentral lists this ribosomal RNA (450 nucleotides) under uncultured bacterium. RNAcentral describes it as "bacterial SSU rRNA". It matches the Rfam family "Bacterial small subunit ribosomal RNA", at positions 29 to 524 of the family's 1533-position model. The record is from RNAcentral.
AACGAACGCUGGCGGCAUGCCUAACACAUGCAAGUCGAACGAGACCUUCGGGUCUAGUGGCGCACGGGUGCGUAACGCGUGGGAAUCUGCCCUUGGGUUCGGAAUAACAGUUAGAAAUGACUGCUAAUACCGGAUAAUGUCUUCGGACCAAAGAUUUAUCGCCCAGGGAUGAGCCCGCGUAGGAUUAGCUAGUUGGUGAGGUAAAGGCUCACCAAGGCGACGAUCCUUAGCUGGUCUGAGAGGAUGAUCAGCCACACUGGGACUGAGACACGGCCCAGACUCCUACGGGAGGCAGCAGUGGGGAAUAUUGGACAAUGGGCGAAAGCCUGAUCCAGCAAUGCCGCGUGAGUGAUGAAGGCCUUAGGGUUGUAAAGCUCUUUUACCCGGGAUGAUAAUGACAGUAUCGGGAGAAUAAGCUCCGGCUAACUCCGUGCCAGCAGCCGCGGUAAU